CCUACGGGGCGCAGCAGUGAGGAAUAUUGGUCAAUGGACGAGAGUCUGAACCAGCCAAGUAGCGUGAAGGAUGACUGCCCUAUGGGUUGUAAACUUCUUUUAUAUGGGAAUAAAAUGUUCCACGUGUGGGAUUUUGUAUGUACCAUAUGAAUAAGUAUCGGCUAACUCCGUGCCAGCAGCCGCGGUAAUACGGAGGAUCCGAGCGUUAUCCGGAUUUAUUGGGUUUAAAGGGAGCGUAGGUGGAUUGUUAAGUCAGUUGUGAAAGUUUGCGGCUCAACCGUAAAAUUGCAGUUGAAACUGGCAGUCUUGAGUACAGUAGAGGUGGGCGGAAUUCGUGGUGUAGCGGUGAAAUGCUUAGAUAUCACGAAGAACUCCGAUUGCGAAGGCAGUUCACUGGACUGCAACUGACACUGAGGCUCGAAAGUGUGGGUAUCAAACAGGAUUAGAUACCCGUGUAGUC
This 460-nucleotide ribosomal RNA is filed under the name uncultured bacterium. RNAcentral's name for it is "partial 16S ribosomal RNA". It matches the Rfam family "Bacterial small subunit ribosomal RNA", at positions 338 to 795 of the family's 1533-position model. The record is from RNAcentral.